This 1351-nucleotide long non-coding RNA is filed under the name Bos indicus x Bos taurus (hybrid cattle). RNAcentral's name for it is "lncRNA (ENSBIXG00005020245.1)". The record is from RNAcentral. Lineage: Eukaryota; Metazoa; Chordata; Mammalia; Artiodactyla; Bovidae.
AUGGUCUCCGGCUCUCGGUCCGGGUGUACCGGCCUCCUGGGGGGCGUCCCAGAGGCCUCAGCACAGACGGUGGUGCUGCAAGGACCAGCCACAGACGGGACAGGGUCCAGGUGCCCUGGCGGAGCAUCCCUGGGACAGACGGGGCUGCCAGCGUCCCCUGUAGGCAGUGCCUGCUCUCUGCAUCCCGCUGACCUGGGCUCCACCCCAGCCCACCCCCGGGAAUAUAAACGCACCAGGGAAAUGAUGCAACAAGGGAGCACCCCCUCGCCGGGCAACCAGAACCAGCAGGCGGCUUCGGGAACACCAUCCACGAGCCGGGAGGGCCCCGGGGCACCCGGAGCAGGAAUCUGACCGGAGGGAGGCCUCGGCCAGGAACUCAGGGAACACACUCCUGAGACGGGAGGCCAGGUCGAGAUAGGCAGCAAAGACACCAGGAAAGGCCAGAGUAGAGUGGAAACCGGAGCGGGGAAGGCUCAGAGACAGGAACGAGACACACAGGGGUCAGGGUGGAGAGCUGGGCCAGAGCCAGAGGCGGGGCAGGGACGCAAAGGGGAGCGCGUUUCAAGAGUCAGAGAAGGAGAAUGCCUUCAUCGCGCGGGAAGAGGAACGGCCUCGGGCUGGAAGGGUAAACAGGCACACAUGCACAUCACCAGGAGAUCGGGGGCAUCAGAGAGAAAGAUAAAACUCUAGACGGUCACAGCAAAUCUGUUAACCUCUGAGACAGCUGCUAUCAGAUGAUCCAGGCCCGGCGAAACUCUGCAAACCAGUGUUUUCAGAGGUCUGAAAGAAAGUAAACUAACCUAGAAUUUCAAACCAGCAACCAAAUGUGAGGUGGGGAGCUUGCGGGUGACCCCAAUGUGUCCUUGAAAACAGCGUCCCAGAAACGCUGAAGAAAAGGGGGAGGAACGCAGGUGGACUGCAGGCCCCCAGGAGUGCACACGGGCCCUGAAGCCAGAGGCCCACAGAGACGGGUGCGGCCGCGAGCCUGGGCAGAGCUGAGGAGGCCACAGUGGGCAGGCCGGGGGCGUCCAGGCGGAGGGGCCUGAAGGGAAACUGCUGCGACAGAGGCAGUGAGGGACGUCAGAAACUUCCAGAAGGAUGUUUCCCUUGCUAGGACUUCUACAAAUUGAAUCAAAGCCACACGAAACGUCCUCUCAGUCCUGCCAGCGGGAAAAUGGGACGGCAAGGAUGGCCACGGCCUUGGUGGGGGCGGGGGGUCCAGGGACCCUGCACAUGGGGCCUGAGGUUUGAUCCUGCUCUGGGGGAGCAGGGGGCGGGGCUUGGCAGAAAAUGUUAAAGGUCUUUGUAGGUUGAAUUCCCUUUGCCCCAUAAAUUCCAGUUUUAGGAAUUU